ACGGAUAUGAUGGAAUUGGUAGACGUGUUAGGUUUAGAUUCUAAUGAUAUUAAAUCAUGAGGGUUCGAGUCCCUCUAUCCGUA
This 83-nucleotide transfer RNA is filed under the name Polyopes polyideoides. Its description in RNAcentral is "tRNA-Leu". It matches the Rfam family "tRNA". Rfam says of the family: Transfer RNA (tRNA) molecules are approximately 80 nucleotides in length. Their secondary structure includes four short double-helical elements and three loops (D, anti-codon, and T loops). Further hydrogen bonds mediate the characteristic L-shaped molecular structure. tRNAs have two regions of fundamental functional importance: the anti-codon, which is responsible for specific mRNA codon recognition, and the 3' end, to which the tRNAs corresponding amino acid is attached (by aminoacyl-tRNA synthetases). tRNAs cope with the degeneracy of the genetic code in two manners: having more than one tRNA (with a specific anti-codon) for a particular amino acid; and 'wobble' base-pairing, i.e. permitting non-standard base-pairing at the 3rd anti-codon position. Lineage: Eukaryota; Rhodophyta; Florideophyceae; Halymeniales; Halymeniaceae. RNAcentral also lists the same sequence under 3 other names. The record is from RNAcentral.